GAUGAAGAACGUAGCGAAAUGCGAUAAGUAAUGUGAAUUGCAGAACUCAGUGAAUCAUCGAAUCUUUGAACGCACAUUGCGCCCGCCAGUAUUCUGGCGGGCAUGCCUGUUCGAGCGUCAUUUCAACCAUCAAGCCCCCGGCUUGUGUUGGGGACCUGCGGCUGCCGCAGGCCCUGAAAACCAGUGGCGGGCUCGCUAGUCACUCCGAGCGUAGUAAUACAUCUCGCUCAGGGCGUGCUGCGGGUUCCGGCCGUUAAAAGCCUUAUUUACCCAAGGUUGACCUCGGAUCAGGUAGGAAGACCCGCUGAACUUAAGCAUAUCAAUAAGCGGAGGA
Molecule: unclassified non-coding RNA, 334 nt
Filed under: soil metagenome
Description: partial contains 5.8S ribosomal RNA, internal transcribed spacer 2, and large subunit ribosomal RNA
Rfam family: 5.8S ribosomal RNA (bases 1-120)
Source: RNAcentral